This 77-nucleotide transfer RNA is filed under the name Shewanella putrefaciens. RNAcentral's name for it is "tRNA-Met". The record is from RNAcentral. Lineage: Bacteria; Pseudomonadati; Pseudomonadota; Gammaproteobacteria; Alteromonadales; Shewanellaceae.
CUUAAAAAAGUAACCCAAACGCUUUAAGUUGCCUAGCUUUAAGCGGCAAAGUGUAAGAGGUCUAGGUAGGCUGCACG